CACGCAGGCGGUCAUGCAAGUCAGCUGUUAAAUGGAUGGGCUUAACCUAUUCAUGCGGUUGAAACUGUAUGGCUAGAGUACUGGAGAGGUAAGCGGAAUUCCCGGUGUAGCGGUGAAAUGCGUAGAUAUCGGGAAGAACACCAGUGGCGAAGGCGGCUUACUGGCCAGUAACUGACGCUGUGGUGCGAAAGCCAGGGGAGCGAACC
This 206-nucleotide ribosomal RNA is filed under the name uncultured bacterium. RNAcentral's name for it is "partial 16S ribosomal RNA". It matches the Rfam family "Bacterial small subunit ribosomal RNA", at positions 568 to 774 of the family's 1533-position model. The record is from RNAcentral.